AACCAGUGAGGGCAGCUCUCCUCUUUGGGCUCAGCCAACCGGCGGAGGGCAUGUGCGGCUAAGCUCUUCCUACUGUCAGCAGCACGCUUGUCAGUAUGUCUCGUGACAUCACCAAGUUGUUAGCUGACUACACGCCGAAUAACUGGCGAACGGAACCGAGCAUGACACUGGAAUAGCUUGUAUCGUGGGCGUAGGCUAAAACGAUCCACGACUUUCAUUCAACAUUUCCUUCCAGCACCAUUGCAUUGAGGGUCCAUAUGAUGGAGUCUUGCGCGCCCAAAAGCAAAGCUGAAGAAGCUUAGUGAAGACAGCCUCACCAGGCAGCCGGAGGAAGUUUUUUGACGUGCUGAAGAAGCUUGGGGAGGGGGUCCUAUGGGAGUGUUUAUAAAGCCUUGCACAAGGAGUCGGGGCCAGGUGGUGGCCAUAAAACAGGUGCCCGUGGAAUCCGACCUGCAGGAAAUCAUCAAAGAAAUAUCAAUCAUGCAACAGUGUGACAGUCCUGUGGAUCAUGAUGGAAUACUGUGGGGCAGGCUCUGUGUCAGACCUUAUCAGAGCACGUGACAAGACGCUCAGUGAGGAUGAGAUAGCCACAAUCCUCAAAUCAACCCUGAAAGGCCUGGAGUAUCUGCAUUUUAUGAGGAAGAUCCACAGGGACAUAAAAGCUGGGAAUAUUCUCCUCAACACUGAAGGUCAUGCGAAACUGGCCGACUUCGGAGUGGCUGGACAACGGACGGAGCCUCCCGGCGGGUUGAUUAGGGAAAACUGCAAACAGCUCACCUCAGGAGGCAGAAACUUGGAAGACUUGCGCCUCAGCUCCAGGAGCGAUCCGUGACUUUGGUUGAGUCAGCCUUCCCACCCCUUUGAGGACACGAUGGCCAAGAGGAACAUCCAUCCUCUUGGAACGGCAUUCUGGAUGGCCCCGGAAGUGAUCCAGGAGAUCGGAUGGCCUGGGAGGUGUUACCUCACAACUCUCUCAGAACACUCCAGGGCCUUGCACUGUGUGAAGAAACACGUCAGUGUAUGUUUAAAAGGCCUAGAAAGCACCCGGUUCUGGAAUGGACCAGCUCCGGUUCCAGACCCACUGCAUAAUCAGUUGGCGUUCUUGUUUCGUUCUGGACCACGCUCAAAGUCAGCUCCAGAAGUGCCAUCAGAAGAGGGUCACACACUGGCUUCCUCAGGCAGACGGCACCCAAGGUCCAGAUGUUUAACGCCAGUGUGUUCAGUGUAGUAUGCCAAUGCGUUACCUCUUUUAGCACCGCUACGCUCCAUUUAUCGCACUGUUCACCACUGCUUACACUAACCCCCAGAUUGGGCCUCGCAAAAUCAGUAACAAUUAACAUGCAGCGUGAAACACACAACAUCAACAGCAAUCAGUUCAGGUUAUUAUAUGUGCUAUUUGAUUAAGGAGGCAUGUACUGUAGCAUAUGUUUUGUCCUAUAUGCAAGGCGAUGCUGUGCGGCACCUCUGGGCCAAAGGCGUAGCCACCCUGACCAUACACAGCAGCUGUGUCUCGUGCAUUGGGUCAUCUGGACAUCGUGGAAGGCUCGCUGACCUGUGUUUAAUUAGCUCAAAUGCUAACAUGAAGCGGGGGAACAUACUGGUCUGUUCCUUGCACAGGAAAGAAGAAGUGGGGUGAAAUGGUUCCAUCUGAUAAAAAAAAAAA
Clupea harengus (Atlantic herring) is the source of this 1663-nucleotide RNA transcript. RefSeq lists it as uncharacterized. Lineage: Eukaryota; Metazoa; Chordata; Actinopteri; Clupeiformes; Clupeidae. The transcript is spliced from 9 exons. The record is from RefSeq and is a predicted model, not a curated record.